CCUACGGGGGGCUGCAGUGGGGAAUCUUGCACAAUGGAGGAAACUCUGAUGCAGCGACGCCGCGUGAGCGAAGAAGCCUUUCGGGGUGUAAAGCUCUUACGCCAGGGACGAUAAUGACGGUACCUGGAGAAGCAGCUGCGGCUAACUACGUGCCAGCAGCCGCGGUAAUACGUAGGCAGCAAGCGUUGUUCGGAAUUACUGGGCGUAAAGGGUGCGUAGGCGGUUGCCUAAGUUUGGUGUGAAAUCUCCCGGCUUAACUGGGAGGGUGCGCUGAA
Molecule: ribosomal RNA, 275 nt
Filed under: uncultured bacterium
Lineage: Bacteria
Description: partial 16S ribosomal RNA
Rfam family: Bacterial small subunit ribosomal RNA
Source: RNAcentral